Molecule: ribosomal RNA, 248 nt
Filed under: uncultured bacterium
Lineage: Bacteria
Description: partial 16S ribosomal RNA
Rfam family: Bacterial small subunit ribosomal RNA
Source: RNAcentral
AUACGGAGGGUGCAAGCGUUGUCCGGAUUUAUUGGGUUUAAAGGGUGCGUAGGCGGCUGAUUAAGUCAGUGGUGAAAGGCAGCAGCUCAACUGUUAGCACGGCCAUUGAUACUGGUUAGCUUGAGUACAGUCGAGGUAGGCGGAAUUGAAGGUGUAGCGGUGAAAUGCAUAGAUAUCUUCAAGAACACCUAUUGCGAAGGCAGCUUACUAGGCUGUAACUGACGCUGAUGCACGAAAGCGUGGGGAUC